UCUCCGUUGGUGAACCAGCGGAGGGAUCAUUACUGAGUUACCGCUCUACAACCCUUUGUGAACAUACCUAACUGUUGCUUCGGCGGGCAGAGGUCCCUUGCGGAUCUCUCCCGGCAAAGCCCUCACGGGCGGAGCGCCCGCCGGAGGAUACCAAACUCUAUUUUAACGACGCUUCUUCUAGGUGGCACAAGCAGAUAAUUAGAACUUUUAACAACGGAUCUCUUGGUUCUG
This 231-nucleotide unclassified non-coding RNA is filed under the name plant metagenome. RNAcentral describes it as "partial contains small subunit ribosomal RNA, internal transcribed spacer 1, and 5.8S ribosomal RNA". The record is from RNAcentral.